GUGCUCACUUCAGCAACGCAUAUACUAACAUUGGAACAAUACAGAGAAGAUUAGCAUGGAUCCUUCAGGUGUUUUUUUUUUUAAAAAAAACUAGCAGCUAUAU
Molecule: small nuclear RNA, 103 nt
Organism: Sphaerodactylus townsendi
Lineage: Eukaryota; Metazoa; Chordata; Lepidosauria; Squamata; Sphaerodactylidae
Source: RefSeq, a predicted model, not a curated record